Molecule: ribosomal RNA, 520 nt
Filed under: uncultured Glomus
Lineage: Eukaryota; Fungi; Glomeromycota; Glomeromycetes; Glomerales; Glomeraceae
Description: SSU rRNA
Rfam family: Eukaryotic small subunit ribosomal RNA
Source: RNAcentral
AGCAGCCGCGGUAAUUCCAGCUCCAAUAGCGUAUAUUAAAGUUGUUGCAGUUAAAAAGCUCGUAGUUGAAUUUCGGGGUCAGUAAGUUGGUCGUGCCACUGGUAUGUACUGGCUUUACUGAUUCCUCCUUCUUGUAGAACCGUAAUGCCAUUAAGUUGGUGUUGCGGGAAAACAGGACUGUUACUUUGAAAAAAUUAGAGUGUUUAAAGCAAGCUAACGCUUGAAUACAUUAGCAUGGAAUAAUGAAAUAGGACGAACGAUCCUAUUUUGUUGGUUUCUAGGAUUGACGUAAUGAUUAAUAGGGAUAGUUGGGGGCAUUAGUAUUCAAUUGUCAGAGGUGAAAUUCUUGGAUUAUUGAAGACUAACUACUGCGAAAGCAUUUGCCAAGGAUGUUUUCAUUAAUCAAGAACGAAAGUUAGGGGAUCGAAGACGAUCAGAUACCGUCGUAGUCUUAACCAUAAACUAUGCCGACUAGGGGGUCGGAUGAUGUUAAUUUUUUAAUGACUCAUUCGGCGCCUUA